UUUUACCACUAAACUAUACCCGCU
RNAcentral lists this transfer RNA (24 nucleotides) under Rehderodendron microcarpum. Its description in RNAcentral is "partial tRNA-Gly". Lineage: Eukaryota; Viridiplantae; Streptophyta; Magnoliopsida; Ericales; Styracaceae. The record is from RNAcentral.